AGUCGAACGGUAGCACAAGAGAGCUUGCUCUCGGGUGACGAGUGGCGGACGGGUGAGUAAUGUCUGGGAAACUGCCUGAUGGAGGGGGAUAACUACUGGAAACGGUAGCUAAUACCGCAUAACGUCGCAAGACCAAAGAGGGGGACCUUCGGGCCUCUUGCCAUCAGAUGUGCCCAGAUGGGAUUAGCUAGUAGGUGGGGUAACGGCUCACCUAGGCGACGAUCCCUAGCUGGUCUGAGAGGAUGACCAGCCACACUGGAACUGAGACACGGUCCAGACUCCUACGGGAGGCAGCAGUGGGGAAUAUUGCACAAUGGGCGCAAGCCUGAUGCAGCCAUGCCGCGUGUAUGAAGAAGGCCUUCGGGUUGUAAAGUACUUUCAGCGGGGAGGAAGGCGAUAAGGUUAAUAACCUUGUCGAUUGACGUUACCCGCAAAAGAAGCACCGGCUAACUCCGUGCCAGCAGCCGCGGUAAUACGGAGGGUGCAAGCGUUAAUCGGAAUUACUGGGCGUAAAGCGCACGCAGGCGGUCUGUCAAGUCGGAUGUGAAAUCCCCGGGCUCAACCUGGGAACUGCAUUCGAAACUGGCAGGCUGGAGUCUUGUAGAGGGGGGUAGAAUUCCAGGUGUAGCGGUGAAAUGCGUAGAGAUCUGGAGGAAUACCGGUGGCGAAGGCGGCCCCCUGGACAAAGACUGACGCUCAGGUGCGAAAGCGUGGGGGAGCAAACAGGAUUAGAUACCCCUGGUAGUCCACGCUGUAAACGAUGUCGACUUGGAGGUUGUUCCCUUGAGGAGUGGCUUCCGGAGCUAACGCGUUAAGUCGACCGCCUGGGGGAGUACGGCCGCAAGGUUAAAACUCAAAUGAAUUGACGGGGGCCCCGCACAAGCGGGUGGAGCAUGUUGGUUUAAUUCGAUGCAAACGCGAAAGAAC
Molecule: ribosomal RNA, 927 nt
Filed under: Klebsiella grimontii
Lineage: Bacteria; Pseudomonadati; Pseudomonadota; Gammaproteobacteria; Enterobacterales; Enterobacteriaceae
Description: bacterial SSU rRNA
Rfam family: Bacterial small subunit ribosomal RNA
Source: RNAcentral